AUGNNNGUCGAGCGGAUGANGGGAGCUUGCUCCUUGAUUCAGCGGCGGACGGGUGAGUAAUGCCUAGGAAUCUGCCUGGUAGUGGGGGGCAACGUUUCGAAAGGAACGCUAAUACCGCAUACGUCCUACGGGGGAAAGCAGGGGACCUUCGGGCCUUGCGCUAUCAGAUGAGCCUAGGUCGGAUUAGCUAGUUGGUGGGGUAAUGGCUCACCAAGGCGACGAUCCGUAACUGGUCUGAGAGGAUGAUCAGUCACACUGGAACUGAGACACGGUCCAGACUCCUACGGGAGGCAGCAGUGGGGAAUAUUGGACAAUGGGCGAAAGCCUGAUCCAGCCAUGCCGCGUGUGUGAAGAAGGUCUUCGGAUUGUAAAGCACUUUAAGUUGGGAGGAAGGGCAGUAAGUUAAUACCUUGCUGUUUUGACGUUACCGACAGAAUAAGCACCGGNNNNNUCUGUGCCAGCAGCCGCGGUAAUACAGAGGGUGCAAGCGUUAAUCGGAAUUACUGGGCGUAAAGCGCGCGUAGGUGGUUUGUUAAGUUGGAUGUGAAAGCCCCGGGCUCAACCUGGGAACUGCAUCCAAAACUGGCAAGCUAGAGUACGGUAGAGGGUGGUGGAAUUUCCUGUGUAGCGGUGAAAUGCGUAGAUAUAGGAAGGAACACCAGUGGCGAANGCGACCACCUGGACUGAUACUGACACUGGGGUGCGAAAGCGUGGGGAGCAAACAGGAUUAGAUACCCUGGUAGUCCACGCCGUAAACGAUGUCAACUAGCCGUUGGANUCCUUGANAUUUUANNGGCGCANCUAACGCAUUAAGUUGACCGCCUGGGGGAGUACGGCCGC
RNAcentral lists this ribosomal RNA (840 nucleotides) under uncultured bacterium. RNAcentral's name for it is "bacterial SSU rRNA". It matches the Rfam family "Bacterial small subunit ribosomal RNA", at positions 55 to 889 of the family's 1533-position model. The record is from RNAcentral.